RNAcentral lists this unclassified non-coding RNA (769 nucleotides) under Hevea brasiliensis (rubber tree). Lineage: Eukaryota; Viridiplantae; Streptophyta; Magnoliopsida; Malpighiales; Euphorbiaceae. The record is from RNAcentral.
AGUUUUUUUUUUUUUUUUUAAUUCAUGUACUUAGUUUUGAGGAAAAUUUCAGAACGAUAGUGGAAUACUGAGUUCAUAAUUCUAUGUUAAGCCUUUAAUGUUCUUGUUCUAAACAAUGUAUUUUGUAUAGUUUGUAAUUUAGUGUGGGAAAAUAUAGGAUGCAAUGCAUUAUAAUUUUUGGCAUGUUUCAUGGAUGCCUUUUAAAUUUAUAUAAUUUUGGAAUAAAAUGGAGAUGGUAAAUAUUGCAAAGAGAGGCUUGCAUGUUCCAGUUUGACAUGAUUGAAUAAUUUGGUUUGAUAUUUAUUUCAAACCAAACUAAACUGUUUAUGCAUAAGAAUCAAAUUAAAGCAAAUUGAAAUAUUACUGUUUGUUUAGUUUCUAAUAUGAUUUAAUGUUGCCUUGAAUGUUGAAGCUUCCAUGGCCUGCUAUACAUUUUAGGUUAAGAAAUGGUUCGCAUGGCACUUUAUGAUUAAUAGUUUCUAUCUUCCUUGUUUUGAUAAAUUCAAUUGUUGACCAAUUUUUCUGUAUCUCUACUGAUUCAGGUCUAUAAUCACAUUAAGUAGGCUUAUAGGGACUGUCAUAUUGUCCAGUGCAUUUGUUCUAGUUAUACAACAAAUCGGUUGUGUGACAUUUUCUUUUUGUUGUAUCCAUUGCUUUGCAUGUCAAACAUCUGGAUCUACCUGCACUUAUUAGUGUCGAAUUGCAAAUAAAUUUUGCUGUUGUCUGUUACAGCUUUGAAUGUUGCCUGCAAGAACUUGGGUCUUGAGGA